GUGGCCUAUCGAUCCUUUA
This 19-nucleotide small nuclear RNA is filed under the name Arabidopsis thaliana (thale cress). Its description in RNAcentral is "snRNA_13846". Lineage: Eukaryota; Viridiplantae; Streptophyta; Magnoliopsida; Brassicales; Brassicaceae. The record is from RNAcentral.